This 263-nucleotide unclassified non-coding RNA is filed under the name Hevea brasiliensis (rubber tree). The record is from RNAcentral. Lineage: Eukaryota; Viridiplantae; Streptophyta; Magnoliopsida; Malpighiales; Euphorbiaceae.
GGCAAGUAUACCUGCUGAAGCCGAUCAGAUUGCAAUUAAAUAACCCUGGCUACACAUCCAAGCAACAAUAAUACCAAGCAAAGCCCCAGCAAAAACCUGUAAUGGGGUGUGGCCAAGAAGUUCUUUUAGCUUUCUUUGACUGAUGGGAUGCCCUUGGAAUAAGUCCUCAACGAUCAGAUUGAGAACCUCUGCUUGCAUCCCGGCAUGCCGUCUAACUCCAAUAGCAUCAUACAUCACAAUUAAAGUAAAUCCCAAACAAACGG